This 253-nucleotide ribosomal RNA is filed under the name uncultured bacterium. Its description in RNAcentral is "partial 16S ribosomal RNA". It matches the Rfam family "Bacterial small subunit ribosomal RNA", at positions 524 to 776 of the family's 1533-position model. The record is from RNAcentral.
UACGAACUGUGCAAACGUUAUUCGGAAUCACUGGGCUUACAGGGUGCGUAGGCGGCUUGUUAAGUAGGGUGUGAAAGCCCCCGGCUCAACCGGGGAAUGGCGCCCUAAACUGGCGAGCUAGAGUGAGAUAGGGGUGUGUGGAACUUCCGGUGGAGCGGUGAAAUGUGUUGAUAUCGGAAGGAACGCCGGUGGCGAAAGCGACACACUGGAUCUUGUCUGACGCUGAGGAGCGAAAGCCAGGGGAGCAAACGGG